UCCACACUACUUUAAAAUAUAAGGUCCAAACUUAUAAGACACCAAUAAAAUAAGACCAAACUGUAAAUUUAACACAUGAACUCAUCAGGUCCAAACUUUUAAGACACCAACAAAAUAAGACCAACCUGUAAAUUCGACACAAACUCAUCAACCUAUCAAGCACCUUGUUAAAACAAGAUGCAUGACAAGUACAAAACAAACAAGACACAUGACAAGGACAAGGACAAAAUAAACUCGGUAAAUUGGCUAGGCUAAACUACUAUUAAGAAAACAGAACCCUCACUUCUUUUUCACAGCAGACUUGGUAACCUUG
RNAcentral lists this unclassified non-coding RNA (313 nucleotides) under Hevea brasiliensis (rubber tree). Lineage: Eukaryota; Viridiplantae; Streptophyta; Magnoliopsida; Malpighiales; Euphorbiaceae. The record is from RNAcentral.